GAACUCCUGACUUCAAGUGAUUGGACUCCCAAAGUGCUGGAAUUACAGGCAUAAGCCACCAUGCCUGGCCUCCCCUAAUUUGCUUCUUUAAACCUCUCUACAUCAUCACAAGUUGGGUGUUACUAUGAUCACUAUUUUACAGGUCAGCCAAAGAGGAGCAAAGAGUCAUCUACCUCAAUCAUGUUCAGGAAAUGAUCAGGUCAAGAUGUGGAGUGAGCCAGCUUUUCUCUUUCGUGCCACAUUUUCUGACCCAGCAUUUCAAGGUACUUCUAAUACACAAAGACUAUUACAAGAGGGAGGAAAGAAGGAAGGUCAGUUAUCUGAAGAACUGAGGCUAGCUAGAAGCCCAAAUUUGGUGUGAUGGGGGCCAUCAAAUCUCAACAGAAACAGCUUUCUCUCUCUGUUAUCCUGGACAGGGCUUGUGAUUUUUUUUUUUCCUCCACUCAGCCAUAGACUCUCAGCUACAUAUCCUCUAGCCUGGAGUAGUCAAAUCAGCUCAUCUCUUUCUCUCUCAUACCAAACUUUCAAAAACAAAACAAAACAAACCAAAAAAACACUUUGUUAUUGGAAUAAAUGAGAAAAAUGUAUUUGUGUUUAAAUAUCUGUGAUACAUGGACCAUCAAAAGCCUCGCUGCUAAUGAAGGCAAUUAUUUAGGUUUACUUAAUCUAUUAACUUAUCAGUUAAUAACUGCUAUUUAUUCUGCUAGAAAUUCCCAAUGGUAUAAUUGUUUCUGGCUGUAGCUCCUUCCAUGCUUUGUACAUCUUACUUGUGGUAGGCAGAAUCACAGCUCUCCACAAAUGAUGUGAUUUGGCUGUAUCCCCACCCAAAUCUCACCUUGAAUUGUAAUAAUUCCAUGUGAAGAAUGGGAUCAGGUAGAGAGAAUUUAAUCAUGGGGAAGGUUUAUCCCAUGCUGUUCUUGUGGUAGUAAAUAAGUUUCACGAGAUCUGCUGGGUUUAUAAACGGGAGUUCUCCUGCACAAGCUCUCUUGCCUGCCACCACGUGGGAUGCAACAUUGCUUCUCAUUCGCUUUCCACCAUGAUUUUGAGGGCUCACCAGCCAUGUGGAACUAUAAGUCAGUUAAACCUCUUUCUUUUAUAAAUUACCCAGUCUCAGCUGUGUCUUUAUUAGCAGUGUGAGGACAAACUAAUACAACGGGUGUCCACAUUCUAGUCCCCAGAAUUUGUGAAUAUGUUAGUUGCAUGGCAAAGGAAAAUUGAAAUUGUAGACUAAACUAAGGUUGUUCGUCAGUUGAUAUUAAGAUAGGAAAGUUAUUCUGGAUUAUCCUGAUGGGACCAAAAUAAUCAGAAGGACAUUUACAAGUGGAAGGAGGCAGAAGAAGUUAGAGUGAUGAGAUGGGAACUCACAAACUGCCAUUGCUGGCCCUUUAAAAGAAUUUAAAUCUUGUUUUAUGACACAUAAUUAUUGUACAUAUUGAUGGGAUACAGUGUGAUGUUUCAACACGUGUAUGUAUAGUUUAAAUAUUGAAUCAGGAUAUUCAACAUAUUCUUCACUUCAUACAUCUUUGAUAUCUUUACGGUGAGAGAAUUCAAAAAUCCUCUCUUCUAGCUAUUUUGAAAUAUACAAUACAAUAUUGCUAACCAUAGUCACCCUGACUCCAUUCCUCAUUUUAAAAAUGGAGGAAGGGACAGUGAUCAAAGGAAUGCAAGCAGCCUCUGGGCUGUGGAAAACCAAAGGAAACAAACUCUUCCCACAGACCCCCCCCCAAGAAAAAACCAACCCUGGCAGUAUCUUGGUUUUACCAUGGUGUGAUCAAGUCAGAUUUCUGUCUUACAGAACUGUAACAUAAUAAAUCUGUAUUGUUUAAGCUACUAAGUUUGAAGUAAUUUUACUAAAACUUGAAAGGAAUUUACAUUUUGCUUUUAAAGUUCUUAUUUUUGAAACUUUAGACAGAGAUCAACAAAUCCUCAACAAGAGAUAGCUCAAUUUUUACCUUUGCAAAAGGAAUUAUGUUACAUAUCUAUGAGAAUGAAUAACUACAGCACAGAAAAAUACUCAUAAGUAAUAUAUUAUUUGAAAUCAGGAGUCUAAUAAGAGAAAAUGCAAAUGUACCCUUUUCUAUAAGAUUUAGAUAAAUUACAUGAAAAAAUAUGUGUGAUAAGAGGUAUGUGUUCUGAGUUAAUACAUAUAAAAUCUGAAAAAAUUGCAACAGGAACAAUAAAUAUGGAAAUUGAAAUCACAAAAAAAUCAAUGAAUUUGAAGACCAUUUGGAGAAAUGCUUAUAUCAUCCUAAGAUUAAUUUAUUCUAACCAUGCACCAGUGAUAGUAUUAUAAGAAGAAAUAAAUUCAUUAUCAUUUUUUACUGUAUUUAUUUUUUAAGACAGAGAUUGGUACUAAUUCAGUAAUGGAAAACUAAUUGUAAAAUUUGUACUGUGGUAAAUUUGGAAAACAAGGCAUGGCACAGAAAGAGUAUAUAAUAAAAUCAUUUGGCAUAAAGGCCAUUUGAAAUGGAUUAAUUAUGGUGAUGAAACAUGUCAUCAUUUCCUGGACAAGUAGGGAAGAUAGGCAAUGAGAAGGCUAUGGAGGAGAGAGAAGAGAGUAGAGUCCAUAGAGUGACAGUCUUCAACAGGUUAAAAACCUGUACGAGUUCAGGUCUUGAACAAGCGAUAUUGGAUGAAAUGGGAGGUAGAGAGGACCAAAGAGUAGGAUUUUUUUUUUUUUUAAUAUUGAGAAACAUUUGCUGUCUAAAAUAGAGAAGAAAUGUUAUUAACAUGCAUGGUGGUCAAGAAACUGACAGGUAAGAUUUGAAAGAGUUACCAGUUUGAGGUAAGCACAAUAGAGAAUAACGACAGAGUUUAUAAUGGAGAGAAUGUCUUUGAAAGCCAAAAGCAAAAGUUGUCUUAAUAGAGAAAGAAACCAAACAAAGGUUUGAAAAAGCAUUUGAAUGGAAAGUUUGGUGUAGACGUACGUUAUGAACCAUAAACUGUCAAAGUUUAUUGGUGAUGCUUGCUGGUUUAUUUACUUGUUGGUUUUCAGAAGGAAAGAACUAUAAUAGACUGAUAACUACAAAUUAACUGAAAUUGUAUAUACCCCGCCUCCUCAUGAUUAGGCAAGUGAAGAUGGGGUGAGCAAAAUAGUAGCAACCCAUUGAAAGGGCUGUUGAAGGGGUUAUAUUUUCCAGACAUAUCAGGAGUUCAAGUUGUUAUUAAAAAUGCAAAAAGAGUUUGCUAAUCAGAACAUAAGCAUUCAAUAUCUAUCACUAUCAAGUUGUGAGAUAAGGGAUAGGUAAUUGAUUCUGUUGGAAAAGCAGAGUCAUAUAAUGAUGACAGUCUGAUAAUACCUCUGUGACUUGAAAGUGACAGAAGUAAACAGGAACAUGAAGCAAAGAGUUUUAGUUCUGAUAGUCUCUUUGAGGAGGAGGAAUAAUGGCACUAUUGUCAUUUUUUGAAUAUUUCCCCUAGUAUUUUUAGGGAUUUCACAAAUCGUUCUAAUGCCUUAAAGGACUACCACUCUGGAACAUCGCUCAAAGCAAUGUUCUUGUGAGGAUUAGGCUUAAUGAAAAGUCCUGUAAUGCUUGGACACAUGGAAAGCUGACCAGUAUUAGAUAAAACAAAAUUGUUAUAGUUGGGAAUUAUUACUAUACGUAUUUUCAUCAUCAUUUUGCAACAUUUAUAAUUUUUUCUUAAUGAAAUAUGUUGAUUUUUCAGUGUUUUUAAAGUAAAAUUGUAUUACAUUUAAAAAAUUAAUGGAGAACUAUUCUGUUGAAGACAAUGAAUGCAUAUUAUGCUUAACAUGUUAAUAUGUGUUUCACAUUAUUUAUAGAUUUUGUCUACUGCAUUGAAAUUUGCUAGAAUGCUGCAUAUGUAGAGCUUAAUGUAAUCACUUCCUAACUAUAAUCUCUGGAGCCAACCCAGUUACAAUAAAAUUAACUCU
This 3892-nucleotide long non-coding RNA is filed under the name Homo sapiens (human). RNAcentral's name for it is "HSALNT0352509". The record is from RNAcentral. Lineage: Eukaryota; Metazoa; Chordata; Mammalia; Primates; Hominidae.